CCUACGGGAGGCAGCAGUGGGGAAUAUUCCACAAUGAGGGGAACCUUGAUGCAGCGACACCGCGUGCGCGAAGGAGGACUUCGGUAUGUAAAGCCCUAUCAGCAGGGAAGAACAUUGACGGUACGUGAUUAUUAAGCACCGGCUAAACACGUUCCAGCAGCCGCGGUAAUAUGUAUGGCGCAAGCGGUAUCCGGACAUACUUGGCAGAAAGGCAGCGGAGGCGGUGCGUUUAGCCCGGUGUGAAAGCCCGCGGCCCAACCGCGGGACUGCAUUGGGUAUUAGCCCGCUAGAGUUCCGGAGGGGUAGGCGGAAUUCCAAGUGUAGCGGUGAAAUGCGUAGAUAUUAGGAAGAACACCAGAGGCGAAGGCAGCCUACUGGGCGGUGACUGACGCUGAGGCUCGAAAGCGUGGGGAGCAAACAGGAUUAGAUACCCCAGUAGUC
RNAcentral lists this ribosomal RNA (441 nucleotides) under uncultured bacterium. RNAcentral describes it as "partial 16S ribosomal RNA". It matches the Rfam family "Bacterial small subunit ribosomal RNA", at positions 338 to 795 of the family's 1533-position model. The record is from RNAcentral.